Long non-coding RNA from Serinus canaria (Common canary), 267 nucleotides. RefSeq lists it as uncharacterized. The transcript is spliced from 3 exons. Lineage: Eukaryota; Metazoa; Chordata; Aves; Passeriformes; Fringillidae. The record is from RefSeq and is a predicted model, not a curated record.
GAAAUUCAUCAAAAGGAAGAGGAGGAAAAGAAAAAUAUUAAAAAAAAAAAAGAAACAAAAAAAAAAAAAAAGAAGAGAAAGGAAAUGAGAGGCGGAAAAAAUGGGGGAAAAGACAACUUUCAGAGACUGGAAUUAAAACCCGAGCCCGAGGCCUGUCCUGCAGCAGCUCCGGGGAUGCCCACCACACCAGGCUGGACCUGGGUUCACCUACCUGCUGCUCAUUUUCUGACUGACAAAUUAUCUCUGGCCCUGGUGAGACUUCACUGG